RNAcentral lists this transfer RNA (62 nucleotides) under Coccidula rufa. Its description in RNAcentral is "tRNA-His". The record is from RNAcentral. Lineage: Eukaryota; Metazoa; Arthropoda; Insecta; Coleoptera; Coccinellidae.
AUUUAAGUAGUUUAAUAAAAAUAUUGAUUUGUGGAAUCAAAGAUAUUAGUUAAUCUUAAAUU